GAUGAACGCUGACAGAAUGCUUAACGCAUGCAAGUCUUUCGCGAAGCUGUGCUUGCACAGCCUAGCCAGGGCGGACGGGUGAGUAACGCGUAAGGAACUUGCCCUGCAGUCAGGGAUAACAGACGGAAACGACUGAUAAGACCUGGUAAAGUCAGACGGACUCAUGUCCAGCCUGAUGAAAAGAGAUGCUGCAGGAGAGCCUUGCGUCCUAUUAGCUUGUUGGUGGGGUAACGGCCCACCAAGGCGAUGAUAGGUAGCCGGCCUGAGAGGGUGGACGGCCACAAGGGGACUGAGAUACGGCCCUGACUCCUACGGGAGGCAGCAGUGGGGAAUAUUGGACAAGGGGGGCAACCCUGAUCCAGCAAUUCUGUGUGCACGAUGAAGGUUUUCGGAGUGUAAAGUGCUUUCAGAAGGGAAGAAAAAAAUGACGGUACCUGCAGAAGAAGCGACGGCUAAAUACGUG
Molecule: ribosomal RNA, 463 nt
Filed under: uncultured bacterium
Lineage: Bacteria
Description: partial 16S ribosomal RNA
Rfam family: Bacterial small subunit ribosomal RNA
Source: RNAcentral